Molecule: ribosomal RNA, 421 nt
Filed under: uncultured bacterium
Lineage: Bacteria
Description: bacterial SSU rRNA
Rfam family: Bacterial small subunit ribosomal RNA
Source: RNAcentral
GAGGAAUAUUGGUCAAUGGGGGCAACCCUGAACCAGCCAAGUCGCGUGAAGGAUGAAGGUCUUAUGGAUUGUAAACUUCUUUUAUACAGGAAUAAAUUGGGGGACGUGUCCCCUUUUGCAUGUACUGUAUGAAUAAGGAUCGGCUAACUCCGUGCCAGCAGCCGCGGUAAUACGGAGGAUCCGAGCGUUAUCCGGAUUUAUUGGGUUUAAAGGGUGCGCAGGCGGGAUGUUAAGUCGGCGGUGAAAUUUUGCAGCUCAACUGUAAAAGUGCCUUCGAUACUGGCUUCCUUGAGUGUAGAUGAAGUCGGCGGAAUUUGCGGUGUCGCGGUGAAAUGCUUAGAUAUCACGAGGAACUCCGAUUGCGCAGGCAGCUUACUAAACUACAACUGACGCUCAUGCACGAAGGCGUGGGGAUCAAACA